This 402-nucleotide ribosomal RNA is filed under the name uncultured bacterium. RNAcentral describes it as "bacterial SSU rRNA". It matches the Rfam family "Bacterial small subunit ribosomal RNA", at positions 356 to 773 of the family's 1533-position model. The record is from RNAcentral.
GGGGAAUAUUGCGCAAUGGGGGAAACCCUGACGCAGCGACGCCGCGUGGAGGAAGAAGGUCUUCGGAUCGUAAACUUCUUUGGCUGGGGACGAAAAGAUGACGGUACCCAGGGAACAAGCCACGGCUAACUACGUGCCAGCAGCCGCGGUAAUACGUAGGUGGCGAGCGUUGUCCGGAAUUACUGGGUGUAAAGGGCGUGUAGGCGGGGGAGCAAGUCAGAUGUGAAAGCCCAAGGCUCAACUUUGGGAUUGCAUCUGAAACUGUUUCUCUUGAGUACUGGAGAGGGAAGCGGAAUUCCUAGUGUAGCGGUGAAAUGCGUAGAGAUUAGGAGGAACACCAGUGGCGAAGGCGGCUUCCUGGACAGAGACUGACGCUGAGGCGCGAAAGCGUGGGGAGCGAAC